Schistosoma margrebowiei is the source of this 78-nucleotide non-coding RNA. NCBI's taxonomy places the organism in Eukaryota, Metazoa, Platyhelminthes, Trematoda, Strigeidida, Schistosomatidae. The record is from Rfam.
AGCUUUCUGAAUCCGUGUCGAGAUUUCGUCGGACACCAGACCAUCAGGACUGAUAAGACCCACAAGAUAAGUAAAGCA